GGUCAAAUCAUCAUGCCCUUUAUGCCUUGGGCUACACACGUGCUACAAUGGCCGCCACAAAGCGAAGCGAAGCCGCGAGGCGGAGCAAACCGCAAAAAAGCGGCCACAGUUCGGAUUGCAGGCUGCAACCCGCCUGCAUGAAGCUGGAAUCGCUAGUAAUCGCGGAUCAGAAUGCCGCGGUGAAUACGUUCCCGGGCCUU
RNAcentral lists this ribosomal RNA (200 nucleotides) under uncultured prokaryote. RNAcentral's name for it is "partial 16S ribosomal RNA". It matches the Rfam family "Bacterial small subunit ribosomal RNA", at positions 1183 to 1382 of the family's 1533-position model. The record is from RNAcentral.